UCACAGCUCAAGGAAUCCUCCUGCCUCAGCCCCCUAAGCAGCUGGGACCACAGGGCUCUUGGGAGAUGCUGGGUGCUGUGCUGCAUGUUUUGCAACGAGCUGAUCUUCUCGUCAAUCCGGUAAGGGCUUGAGCAAUUCACUUUCCCUCCCUGAGUCUUGGUGACCUGUGCUGUGAAAUAGAGAGAGACACCUACCACCUGCUGUCAGAGCCCAUCAAGAAGAGAAGUCAUUUGCAAAGUCGUCAGGCAUGAAGCCCAUCUUGAAAUUCAAGGCUUAGUGGGCAUGGUGGCUCAGGCCUAUAAUCUCAGCAUUUUUGGGGGCUGCAGCAAGAGGAUUGCUUUGAGCCCAAGAGUUCGAGACCAGCCUGGACAACAUAGUGAUACCCUAUCUCUUAGAAAAAAAAAUUAAUUAGG
Chlorocebus sabaeus (green monkey) is the source of this 413-nucleotide non-coding RNA. The record is from RefSeq and is a predicted model, not a curated record. Lineage: Eukaryota; Metazoa; Chordata; Mammalia; Primates; Cercopithecidae.